GCAGCAGCCGCGGGAACACCGGCGGCCCGAGUGGUGAUCGUGAUUAUUGGGUCUAAAGGGUCCGUAGCCGGUUUGGUCAGUCCUCCGGGAAAUCUGAUAGCUCAACUAUUAGGCUUUCGGGGGAUACUGCCAGACUUGGAACCGGGAGAGGUAAGAGGUACUACAGGGGUAGGAGUGAAAUCUUGUAAUCCCUGUGGGACCACCUGUGGCGAAGGCGUCUUACCAGAACGGGUUCGACGGUGAGGGACGAAAGCUGGGGGGCACGAACCGGAUUAGAUACCCGGGUAGUCCCAGCCGUAAACGAUGCUCGCUAGGUGUCAGGCAUGGCGCGACCGUGUCUGGUGCCGCAGGGAAGCCGUGAAGCGAGCCACCUGGGAAGUACGGCCGCAAGGCUGAAACUUAAAGGAAUUGGCGGGGGAGCACAACAACGGGUGGAGCCCUGCGGUUUAAUUGGACUCAACGCCGGACAACUCACCGGGGGCGACAGCAAUAUGUAGGCCAAGCUGAAGACUUUGCCUGAAUCGCUGAGAGGUGGUGCAUGG
This 542-nucleotide ribosomal RNA is filed under the name uncultured archaeon. RNAcentral describes it as "bacterial SSU rRNA". It matches the Rfam family "Archaeal small subunit ribosomal RNA", at positions 458 to 997 of the family's 1478-position model. The record is from RNAcentral.